This 1173-nucleotide long non-coding RNA is filed under the name Ananas comosus (pineapple). RNAcentral describes it as "long non-coding RNA (ACOM_LNC014628)". Lineage: Eukaryota; Viridiplantae; Streptophyta; Magnoliopsida; Poales; Bromeliaceae. The record is from RNAcentral.
UAUUAUUUGAAAUUUGAAUUUAGAGCAUAAAGCAGUGAUUUAGAUAAAUUAUACAUGUUGGACUUGAAUUUGACUUAGGAGAAAACUAUAGGUUCUACAUUAUCAUUUUCAGAAAACUACUAGAUUUAGCUUUAGAAGCUAUAGUUUGUUUGUAUCGCCGCAAUUUGUAGGCGGUGGAUACCCAGAAUAGUGUAGAAUGAAUUUAUGCUCGUGCUGGAAUGUCGAGCUUAUUUUUACAGUAAUAUAUAGACUGUUCCGGACUGUCGGGUGCCGUUGUGGUUGAUGGUGGACCGAGAUUGCUAUUUUUGCAUGGGAUGGUGCCGAGGGCACGUAGAUUAUGAUUACUAGACCAGUUAAACCUUCUUGUUUGACUAUAGCCUGUGAGAGCCUGAUUGAGCUCGGCGGAGAUACGCUUGCAUACUCGGUUGGGUAACGCCCACGAGUGCCACUCCAGAGUCAGGCUUUGUGCUUUUGCGUUGUUGUCGGUUUGUCAUGGUUGGACUUCCUCUCCACUGACGACCCAACAUGGUGGUAGUUAGUGUAGCUUCGGCAGACGUGACGGGUGUGUUCACAGUCCCUAGUGAGAUUGGGUUAGAGAUUGUAUUUUUUUCAGAUAGUUAGUAUUGGAUCGUGAUAGUAUAGUGUCAUAUAGCUGUAGAAUUAUUCCAGCUUUCCUUACUAUCCUUGAGUAUACAUCUGUAGACUUAGUGGGUGAGCCGUUGAGGUCGGUAGCGGUACCCACUGAGGGCUACUUCUUUUUGCAGUAGUUCUCACACCCAGUUGUUGACCCUUUUUGCAGAGCCUUCUUCUUCGGCUGCUGCUACUGCUAAUCUUGAUCGUGGAAAGGGAGUCACGAGUUAGAUCCCUUCCAAUUUUACUGCUGAUCUAGAGAUAUAUCAGCUACAAGUAGUGUUGGUUUUUGGUUCUUAUAUAUGCUGAUGUUAAUUUCUCGCUGGAGCGAGUGCUUUUGUAUUGGAGACUAUGUAUGUAUGUUGAGCCAAUAUUAUUUAUAUGUGUUUUUCUGGUUAACAGCUCUAUACUACUGGUUGUAGUAUUAUAUGUAUACAGGUACAGGUACAGGUACAGCUAUCGUUUCGUAUACAGGAAAAACUCCUAUAUAUACGGCGGCGGGUCUAUUAGCGUGCCAGGGAAAACAAGUAAUCCGGGGCGUGA